RNAcentral lists this long non-coding RNA (927 nucleotides) under Scleropages formosus (Asian bonytongue). Its description in RNAcentral is "lncRNA (ENSSFOG00015030157.1)". Lineage: Eukaryota; Metazoa; Chordata; Actinopteri; Osteoglossiformes; Osteoglossidae. The record is from RNAcentral.
GUGAACUUUUGUAACUCUUGGAUGUUUGCAUCAUUUGAUUAUAGUGGCAAUUUUGGAGCUGUUUAUUAGUGUCUCUAUUGCAGUAUUAAUUCUGACCUUUAUUAUUGGCCACCAUUAGGCUGUUUGUGCGGGGGCGCCACGUCCGCAGCGAUCCAGCGCGCUGCCUGGUGGCCCUCUCCGCCGUCGGACGUUGCCCCUCCUUACGGCGCACUUUGUUUUCUCUCUACGCACAGACGCCCGUGGAAUACGCAGCCGCAGGUUCCUCCGGUACUGCCGACACCCGCGGGACUAUGGGAGAUAUCGCAGUGGACCGCACUCCCCUUUCGAGGGCUGCCCUCGUUCUUAAGAAGACCAGCUUGGCGACCGGAAGGUUGCAUGGAUCUGAUCAUUGGAGAUCCCAGGUGUACUUUUCUCAGAGCAGAGAUAGUGAGGCUGGAAGUGGCCCGUGUGCCCACCGUGCUCUUGGCUCGGAAGAGUGAGCGCUGCCCGAGAAAAAGGAAGAUGAUGGAUGUGUUGGGAAGACACGGCACACGCGGCGGCCCCGGAAAUCAACGGAAGCGAACGUCGGGCGGCAGGAGAAUUUCUGCGAACGGCUUCCCCGAAAGCCUGCGAUGGAGCCGUGUGCUGGAGCAAGGUAUUUUUACUCUGUCAUCGCGCCGCUUUGUUCCAAGGAGCGCCCCAACGUGUCCGAAUCGGGCGCCGCCGGCCUCGUCUCCGACCAGCGUGCGUGGAAGGGAGUGGAGGUGGAGCAGAGCCACAGUGACACGUUGUAGGGUCCCGACCGGAGGACAUUCAUUCUUGCUCGGACAAAGAUUCUCCAUAAAGGUGGACAACGCUGAGGCUGGGUGUCCAGGACAGAGGGACAGAAAGUGGAGCGGAACGGUGCUCCUGUCCGAAGUGCUGCAAGAGUUCUGGAAGGGGCGAUGA